Molecule: long non-coding RNA, 1498 nt
Organism: Mustela lutreola (European mink)
Lineage: Eukaryota; Metazoa; Chordata; Mammalia; Carnivora; Mustelidae
Exons: 2
Source: RefSeq, a predicted model, not a curated record
AAGCAGGCGGAGUAGCAGGGAGAGGCAGAAGGAGAAGCAGGCUCUCCGCUGAGCAAGGAGCCAGAUGUGGGGCUCCACCCCAGGACCCUGGGAUCACAACCUGAGCUGAAGGUAGCUGCCCAACCAACCAAGCCACCCAGGCGCCCUAAAACUUACAGGUCUUAUAAACUUGACCCACACUGUAUGACAACAGUGCUGCAGAGUGACAAACUGGAGCAUCACAUUGAGAGCACCGUGGACCAGCCCGGACAUGCCUAAUGGGGCAGGUUAAAAACAGUGUAAGUUACUCUGCUUCUUCCAGAUUAAUUUGGAACUGAAGAGAACAUGACAGGAGGUGUAAUACUUGUUUGUUCAAGCUUUUAACUACAAUGUAAAAGGACCAGUGGUUUUACUAUUAUUUUUCCAUUUGGCUUCCUGGCACCUCGAAUUCAAUCAGUGUCCUGCUGUUCAGAGGUAUUUUGAAGUGUGCCAAGUCUUAAUUGAAGUGGAAGUGCCUGAAACCGAGUUAAUACCACGAGCAACAGGGAGUCGAAUUUAUGGAGGAUCUCACAGACCACAGCCAAGAGUUUGGAUUUCAUUCUCAAUGCUGCAGAAGAUUUUAAGCAAAACGGGGAUGUAGUCUGAUUCCUGUCUUUUCAAAAAGAUCAUUUGAUUGCAGUGUGGAGAAUGCACUGAAAUGGAGGUCGGGGGGGAGGUGGAGGCCACUUGCCACGCAGGAGGUGGUGGGAGGCAGUGGCUACAGCAGUGGAAGGACAGCUCGGUUCUAAAUCCGCCCCCCACCCCCACCCCAAGUAGGUCAGAGCCCACUGUAGGCUCUAGCAGACAAAGAUUCUCCAAGGGUUCCCAUCAGCUGGUUCAUAAAACAUCUCUCGAGGGCGUGCCCAGCACAGGGGUUAGGACUGAUGCUGUCUCACGGAGUAGACCAACCCCCCGCGCCCCGACAAAUUAAAUUGUAAGAUGCCAGGCCUCAGGCACUGGUGACCAUGAGCACUAGAGACAGGGGUGUCAGGGAAGAUCUUUCCCACGCCACAGACACCUGCUUUCAGGACCUUUGGCAACAACGUGAACUAUAUCCUGUCUAGGCCACCUUUCUAUUUUCUGGCCCAGAAAUCCGACUGAUCCCAUCUCCCACACCGACAACCAUCCAGACCCCUUUUGCCCACUGUAGCUACCCCUACACGGGUCUGAUUUUAAAGUGGUGUUGUAACCUAAAUGGCUUUUUAACGUUUGGUGUGAGUGGGAGACAGAUUUAAGGUCUGGUGGCCUUGCCAGCCCCCCUCGGGCUGCAGCUGAAUAGGAAGGCCACAUUACAAGCUUGGAAUGCUGCAUGGGUUCAGAGAAGGCCAACCUCAGGGCAAGACCUCUCGAGAGACGGGCCAGGGGCUAAGCCCCCGUUUGGAAGCUGGAUCUUGGAAUGCCGAUGGGGAGCCAUCCUACAGUUUUUGCGAGGUGUGGCUUUUCUCUCUCGUUGCUUUUAAGAUCUUCUCCUUGUCUUUGA